CUACUAGUACAGUCAUUAUAUCCAAAAAACCGACCCUACCCGUGAAUAAUUAGUUCUUGGAUUUUUUUUUCGUAGGUCCCUCGGGGGGGUCACUGGGAGUGUAAAUUCAAAAAGUAGGCUUUAUCAGGCUCCUGCGUAUAUUCGAAAAAUGAUUUUUUUCCAAAAAAACGGGUUUUCUUCAAUAACUCGGCUAUUUUUGAUUUUACAGUAAAACCGUAAGGACAAAAAUUGUAGGAAAUUUGAUUCUCUACAAGUUAGUCCAGUCAUUAUAUCCAAAAAAACCGACCCUUCCCGUGAAUAAUCAGUUCUUGGAUUUUUUUUUCGUACGUCUCUAGGGGGAAUCACUGGGAGUGUAAAUUCAAAAAGUAGACUGAAUCAGAGUCCUGUGUAUAUUCGAAAAACGGUUUUUCUUGAAUAACUCGGUCAUUUUUGAUUUUACAGUAAAACCUUCGAACAAAAAUUGUUCAGAAUUUGAUUCUCUACAACUUUGUUUCCCUUCAUUUAUGCCUUAAAGCGUAGAACAUAGGAGAUAAUGAUAAUAUUUUGAAUUUGUCGCGUUUUUCAGGUUUAAUUUCUAAAAUAUCGAUUUUGGGGGAAAGAAGGUGGGAACCAAAAUUGUUCAGAAUUUGAUUCUCUACAAGUUUAGUCCUCUUCAUUUAUGUCGUAAAGUUGAAAAUAAACGAGAUGUUGAAAAUAUUUUGAAUUUGUCGCUUUUUUCAAAUUUUAUUUCCAAACUAUCGAUCCUAGAAGAAAAAUUGUGAGGAACAAACUUGUAGAGAAUCAAAUUUUCUAAAAUUUUUGUCCUCACGGUUUUACUGUAAAAUCAAAAAUGACCGAGUUAUUAAAAAAAAACCGUUUUUCGAAUAUACACAGGACCCUGAUUCAGUCUACUUUUUGAAUUUACACUCCCAGUGAUUCCCCCGAGGGACGUACGAAAAAAAAAUCCAAGAACUGAUUAUUCACGGGAAGGGUCGGUUUUUUGGAUAUAAUGACUGGACUAACUUGUAGAGAAUCAAAUUUCCUACAAUUUUUGUCCUUACGGUUUUACUGUAAAAUCAAAAAUGGCCGAGU
Long non-coding RNA from Cydia splendana, 1071 nucleotides. RefSeq lists it as uncharacterized. The transcript is spliced from 2 exons. Lineage: Eukaryota; Metazoa; Arthropoda; Insecta; Lepidoptera; Tortricidae. The record is from RefSeq and is a predicted model, not a curated record.